Molecule: non-coding RNA, 295 nt
Organism: Gorilla gorilla gorilla (western lowland gorilla)
Lineage: Eukaryota; Metazoa; Chordata; Mammalia; Primates; Hominidae
Rfam family: Metazoan signal recognition particle RNA
About the family: The signal recognition particle (SRP) is a universally conserved ribonucleoprotein.
Source: Rfam
GCCAGCCACAGUGCUGUGCACCUGUAGACUAAGCUACUCCGGAGGUGGGGCAGGAGGAUUGCUUGAGCCCAGGAGAUCUGUGCUGUAGUGCACUAUGCCAAUGGGAUGUCUGCACUAAAUACAACAUCAAUAUGGUGACCUCCCAGGAACAGAGGACCAGCAGGAUGCCUAUGGAGGGGUGAUCCAGCCUGGGUCAGAAACAGAGCAGGAAAAAACUUCCAUGCUGAUCAGCAGUGGGAUCACAUCUGUGAAUAGCUACUGCCAGUCUGGACAACAUAGAAAGACCCUAUCUCUA